GAGCUAAUAAGCAACCUCUUCCUGUUGAAUCUGCUGGGAAAUGAGGUUAGAUUUUCACCCCCUUCUUUUUAGUCAGUUGGCCAGGGUGCCACGCCUGGUCUGUGAGCCCUCAGAUCCAUUUCUUGCCCUUCCUUCCUCUGCUCUAUAUUGCAAGAGACUGACCCCUGCAGGCUGAGUUUCCUAGGCUCCUGUGUCAGUUGGUUUCUGGCUGAGUUUGGUCAAUGGAAGGCAUCAAUGGGGACUGGAUGGUGGGAGGAGAGGAGAAGCCAUGCUAUUUCUCCUUGUGCUUCCUUGAAUCCAUAGAUGCUUUCCUGAUGGCAUCUGUGGCAACUCCUUCAUGCAUCCAGCCCUCACUGGAUUGGAACACUGUGAUUCCAGCUUCCACAGGGUGAAUUGGCUUCUGGAUUCUGAUGUCCCUGCAGGGAAGCUCACACGAGCCAGCAGAUCGGAGCCAAGUUGCAGAUGUAAUAUGGACAAACCUUAUGAAGAGACAGAAGGCAAGUCAAGGGAAUGGGAACUGUCAUUCUUCAACAUUGAAAUCACAACUGUAAUGAGGGGCACCUGGGUGGCUCAGUCGGUUAACUGUCUGCCUUCAGCCAGUGUCAUGAUCUCAGAGUCCUGGGAUGGAGCCCCAUACUGGGCUCCCUGCUCAGUGGGGAGCCUGCUUCUCCCUC
Long non-coding RNA from Canis lupus familiaris (dog), 674 nucleotides. RefSeq lists it as uncharacterized. The record is from RefSeq and is a predicted model, not a curated record. The transcript is spliced from 3 exons. NCBI's taxonomy places the organism in Eukaryota, Metazoa, Chordata, Mammalia, Carnivora, Canidae.